GACGAACGCUGGCGGCGUGCUUAACACAUGCAAGUCGAACGAUGACGACCGAGCUUGCUCGGUCUGAUUAGUGGCGAACGGGUGAGUAACACGUGAGCAACCUGCCCUUCACUCUGGGAUAACCUCGGGAAAUCGGGGCUAAUACCGGAUAUGAGCUCCUGUCGCAUGGCGGGUGUUGGAAAGUUUUUCGGUGAAGGAUGGGCUCGCGGCCUAUCAGUUUGUUGGUGAGGUAGUGGCUCACCAAGGCGAUGACGGGUAGCCGGCCUGAGAGGGCGACCGGCCACACUGGGACUGAGACACGGCCCAGACUCCUACGGGAGGCAGCAGUGGGGAAUAUUGCACAAUGGGCGAAAGCCUGAUGCAGCGACGCCGCGUGAGGGAUGACGGCCUUCGGGUUGUAAACCUCUUUCAGCAGGGAAGAAGCGAGAGUGACGGUACCUGCAGAAGAAGCGCCGGCUAACUACGUG
Molecule: ribosomal RNA, 467 nt
Filed under: uncultured bacterium
Lineage: Bacteria
Description: partial 16S ribosomal RNA
Rfam family: Bacterial small subunit ribosomal RNA
Source: RNAcentral